Molecule: ribosomal RNA, 252 nt
Filed under: uncultured bacterium
Lineage: Bacteria
Description: partial 16S ribosomal RNA
Rfam family: Archaeal small subunit ribosomal RNA
Source: RNAcentral
UACCAGCACCCCGAGUGGUCGGGACGUUAUUGGGCCUAAAGCAUCCGUAGCCGGUUCUACAAGUCUUCCGUUAAAUCCAGCUGCUUAACAGAUGGGCUGCGGAGGAUACUAUAAGACUAGGAGGCAGGAGAGGCAAGCGGUACUCAGUGGGUAGGGGUAAAAUCCGUUGAUCCAUUGAAGACCACCGGUGGCGAAGGCGGUUCUCUGGGCCUUACCUGACGCUGAGGAGCGAAAGCGUGGGGAGCGAACAGG